CCUACGGGCGGCAGCAGUGAGGAAUAUUGGUCAAUGGACGCAAGUCUGAACCAGCCAUGCCGCGUGCAGGAAGACGGCUCUAUGAGUUGUAAACUGCUUUUGUACGAGGGUAAACGCAGAUACGCGUAUCUGUCUGAAAGUAUCGUACGAAUAAGGAUCGGCUAACUCCGUGCCAGCAGCCGCGGUAAUACGGAGGAUUCAAGCGUUAUCCGGAUUUAUUGGGUUUAAAGGGUGCGUAGGCGGUCGGAUAAGUUAGAGGUGAAAUCCCGAGGCUCAACUUCGGAAUUGCCUCUGAUACUGUUCGGCUAGAGAGUAGUUGCGGUAGGCGGAAUGUAUGGUGUAGCGGUGAAAUGCUUAGAGAUCAUGCAGAACACCGAUUGCGAAGGCAGCUUACCAAGGUACUUCUGACGUUGAGGCACGAAAGCGUGGGGAGCGAACAGGAUUAGAUACCCGAGUAGUC
Molecule: ribosomal RNA, 460 nt
Filed under: uncultured bacterium
Lineage: Bacteria
Description: partial 16S ribosomal RNA
Rfam family: Bacterial small subunit ribosomal RNA
Source: RNAcentral